GACGAACGCUGGCGGCGCGCCUAACACAUGCAAGUCGAACGAGCGAGAGAGAGCUUGCUUUCUCGAGCGAGUGGCGAACGGGUGAGUAACGCGUGAGGAACCUGCCUCAAAGAGGGGGACAACAGUAGGAAACGACUGCUAAUACCGCAUACGCCCACGGCACGGCAUGGGGCAGGGGGAAAAGGAGGAAUGCGCUUUGAGAUGGCCCCGCGUACGAUGAGGUAGUUGGAGGGGUAAAGGACCACCAAGGCGACGAUCGGUACCCGGACUGAGAGCGUGAACGGCCACAUUGGGACUGAGACACGGCCCAGACUCCUACGGGAGGCAGCAGUGGUUAAUAUUGCACCAUGGGGCUAACCCUGAUGCAGCGCCGCCGCGUGGAGGAAGAAGGUCUUCUGAUUGUAAACUCCUGUUGUUGGGGAAGAUAAUGACGGUACCCAACAAGGAAGUGACGGCUAACUACGUG
Molecule: ribosomal RNA, 466 nt
Filed under: uncultured bacterium
Lineage: Bacteria
Description: partial 16S ribosomal RNA
Rfam family: Bacterial small subunit ribosomal RNA
Source: RNAcentral